Molecule: non-coding RNA, 30 nt
Filed under: Rattus norvegicus (Norway rat)
Lineage: Eukaryota; Metazoa; Chordata; Mammalia; Rodentia; Muridae
Source: RNAcentral
UCCUUGACUCUUACUUACUAGCCCAAGUAA